RNAcentral lists this ribosomal RNA (1121 nucleotides) under Salmonella enterica. RNAcentral describes it as "partial 23S ribosomal RNA". It matches the Rfam family "Bacterial large subunit ribosomal RNA", at positions 711 to 1745 of the family's 2925-position model. RNAcentral also lists the same sequence under 1 other name. Lineage: Bacteria; Pseudomonadati; Pseudomonadota; Gammaproteobacteria; Enterobacterales; Enterobacteriaceae. The record is from RNAcentral.
AGACCCGAAACCCGGUGAUCUAGCCAUGGGCAGGUUGAAGGUUGGGUAACACUAACUGGAGGACCGAACCGACUAAUGUUGAAAAAUUAGCGGAUGACCUGUGGCUGGGGGUGAAAGGCCAAUCAAACCGGGAGAUAGCUGGUUCUCCCCGAAAGCUAUUUAGGUAGCGCCUCGUGAAUUCAUCUCCGGGGGUAGAGCACUGUUUCGGCUAGGGGGCCAUCCCGGCUUACCAACCCGAUGCAAACUGCGAAUACCGGAGAAUGUUAUCACGGGAGACACACGGCGGGUGCUAACGUCCGUCGUGAAGAGGGAAACAACCCAGACCGCCAGCUAAGGUCCCAAAGUCAUGGUUAAGUGGGAAACGAUGUGGGAAGGCCCAGACAGCCAGGAUGUUGGCUUAGAAGCAGCCAUCAUUUAAAGAAAGCGUAAUAGCUCACUGGUCGAGUCGGCCUGCGCGGAAGAUGUAACGGGGCUAAACCAUGCACCGAAGCUGCGGCAGCGAACGUAUCACCCAAGACAACUUUACGGAGUUGACGAUUGACGGAGCGAAGCGACGUCAAAGCGUUCAUUAAAGUCGAGUUGGCUUAGGGAUACGUUCGUUGGGUAGGGGAGCGUUCUGUAAGCCUGUGAAGGUGUGUCGUGAGGCAUGCUGGAGGUAUCAGAAGUGCGAAUGCUGACAUAAGUAACGAUAAAGCGGGUGAAAAGCCCGCUCGCCGGAAGACCAAGGGUUCCUGUCCAACGUUAAUCGGGGCAGGGUGAGUCGACCCCUAAGGCGAGGCCGAAAGGCGUAGUCGAUGGGAAACGGGUUAAUAUUCCCGUACUUGGUGUUACUGCGAAGGGGGGACGGAGAAGGCUAUGUUGGCCGGGCGACGGUUGUCCCGGUUUAAGCGUGUAGGUGUGUGUUCCAGGUAAAUCCGGUUCACUUUAACACUGAGGCGUGACGACGAGGCACUACGGUGCUGAAGCAACAAAUGCCCUGCUUCCAGGAAAAGCCUCUAAGCAUCAGGUAACACGAAAUCGUACCCCAAACCGACACAGGUGGUCAGGUAGAGAAUACCAAGGCGCUUGAGAGAACUCGGGUGAAGGAACUAGGCAAAAUGGUGCCGUAACUUCGGGAGAAG